CUCCUGUAAAACCAAGUCCAACUUCUGUCAGAAGAAUUAAUCAUAUUUCAGAUGAGCCUCCCACCAUCAUCAGCUCUCAGAAAGAUCCUCCACAGUCUCUGCCCUUCGUUCCGUUCGCCUUGGUGACGGUGAUCUUUCUCCACAUUAUAGUAGCUGCUGUUUACUGCACCAAGAGAACUAAAGUGUCAGAUCCUGCCGCUGUUCACUACAGCAGUGCUGCUGAAGAUGGAGCAGUGAAUCUGCAGUAGAAAAGGAAAAACUGGAUUUGGUUUGGUUGAUGCUCUCUGGAGGAUCUUCAGUAAACAGUAUGAUCAAUUCAUUUUAUGUUUUUUUUUUUUAGAUUUUGAAGACAUCAAAGCUAUGAGGGAAUGCAUAUGCAGUUAUAAAGUAAAAAAAGAUUUUUAGAUUGUUCAAAAAUAGCACCUUUUGUCUUAAAGCCAACUUUGUGUACUCUUGGCUGAUUUUCUCAGUCGGCUUCAUCAGGUAGAAGC
Long non-coding RNA from Astyanax mexicanus (Mexican tetra), 491 nucleotides. RefSeq lists it as uncharacterized. Lineage: Eukaryota; Metazoa; Chordata; Actinopteri; Characiformes; Acestrorhamphidae. The record is from RefSeq and is a predicted model, not a curated record. The transcript has 3 exons.